This 705-nucleotide ribosomal RNA is filed under the name uncultured bacterium. RNAcentral's name for it is "bacterial SSU rRNA". It matches the Rfam family "Bacterial small subunit ribosomal RNA", at positions 56 to 758 of the family's 1533-position model. The record is from RNAcentral.
UGCAAGUCGAACGAAGCACUUUAUUUGAUUUCCUUCGGGACUGAUUAUUUUGUGACUGAGUGGCGGACGGGUGAGUAACGCGUGGGUAACCUGCCUUGUACAGGGGGGAUAACAGUUGGAAACGGCUGCUAAUACCGCAUAAGCGCACAGCAUCGCAUGAUGCAGUGUGAAAAACUCCGGUGGUAUAAGAUGGACCCGCGUUGGAUUAGCUAGUUGGUGAGGUAACGGCCCACCAAGGCGACGAUCCAUAGCCGACCUGAGGGGGUGACCGGCCACAUUGGGACUGAGACACGGCCCAAACUCCUACGGGAGGCAGCAGUGGGGAAUAUUGCACAAUGGGCGAAAGCCUGAUGCAGCGACGCCGCGUGAGCGAAGAAGUAUUUCGGUAUGUAAAGCUCUAUCAGCAGGGAAGAUAAUGACGGUACCUGACUAAGAAGCACCGGCUAAAUACGUGCCAGCAGCCGCGGUAAUACGUAUGGUGCAAGCGUUAUCCGGAUUUACUGGGUGUAAAGGGAGCGCAGGCGGUGCGGCAAGUCUGAUGUGAAAGCCCGGGGCUCAACCCCGGUACUGCAUUGGAAACUGUCGUACUAGAGUGUCGGAGGGGUAAGCGGAAUUCCUAGUGUAGCGGUGAAAUGCGUAGAUAUUAGGAGGAACACCAGUGGCGAAGGCGGCUUACUGGACGAUAACUGACGCUGAGGCUCGAAA